UUUGACGUUUAGCGACAGAAGAAGCAACUGGCUAACUCCGUGCCAGCAGCCGCGGUAAUACGGAGGGUGCGAGCGUUAAUCGGAAUUACUGGGCGUAAAGCGCAUGCAGGUGGUUUGUUAAGUUCAGAUGUGAAAGACCCGGGGCGUCAACCUCGGAAUAGCAUUUGAAACUGGCAGACUAGAGUACUGUAGAGGGGGGUAGGAAGUUUCAGGUGUAGCGGUGAAAUAGCGUAGAGAUCUGAAGGAAUACCGGUGGCGAAGGCGGCCCCCUCGGACAGAUACUGACACUCAGAUGCGAAAGCGUGGGGAGCAAACAGGAUUAGAUACCCUGGUAG
RNAcentral lists this ribosomal RNA (335 nucleotides) under uncultured bacterium. Its description in RNAcentral is "bacterial SSU rRNA". It matches the Rfam family "Bacterial small subunit ribosomal RNA", at positions 468 to 793 of the family's 1533-position model. The record is from RNAcentral.